AGUAGGCUUGCUACUUGACCUAGCGGCGGACGGGUGAGUAAUGCUUAGGAAUCUGCCUAUUAGUGGGGGACAACAUCUCGAAAGGGAUGCUAAUACCGCAUACGUCCUACGGGAGAAAGCAGGGGACCUUCGGGCCUUGCGCUAAUAGAUGAGCCUAAGUCGGAUUAGCUAGUUGGUGGGGUAAAGGCCUACCAAGGCGACGAUCUGUAGCGGGUCUGAGAGGAUGAUCCGCCACACUGGGACUGAGACACGGCCCAGACUCCUACGGGAGGCAGCAGUGGGGAAUAUUGGACAGUGGGGGAACCCUGAUCCAGC
RNAcentral lists this ribosomal RNA (315 nucleotides) under Acinetobacter lwoffii. Its description in RNAcentral is "bacterial SSU rRNA". It matches the Rfam family "Bacterial small subunit ribosomal RNA", at positions 74 to 392 of the family's 1533-position model. The record is from RNAcentral. Lineage: Bacteria; Pseudomonadati; Pseudomonadota; Gammaproteobacteria; Moraxellales; Moraxellaceae.